UACGAAGGGGGCUAGCGUUGCUCGGAAUCACUGGGCGUAAAGCGCACGUAGGCGGCUUCUUAAGUCAGGGGUGAAAUCCUGGAGCUCAACUCCAGAACUGCCUUUGAUACUGAGAAGCUUGAGUCCGGGAGAGGUGAGUGGAACUGCGAGUGUAGAGGUGAAAUGCGCAGAUAUCGGGAAGAACACCCGUGGCGAAGGCGGCUCUCUGGGACGGUACUGACGCUGAGACGCGAAAGCGUGGGGAGCAAACAGG
Molecule: ribosomal RNA, 253 nt
Filed under: uncultured bacterium
Lineage: Bacteria
Description: partial 16S ribosomal RNA
Rfam family: Bacterial small subunit ribosomal RNA
Source: RNAcentral